RNAcentral lists this ribosomal RNA (609 nucleotides) under Clostridioides difficile. RNAcentral's name for it is "partial 23S ribosomal RNA". It matches the Rfam family "Bacterial large subunit ribosomal RNA", at positions 2191 to 2798 of the family's 2925-position model. The record is from RNAcentral. Lineage: Bacteria; Bacillati; Bacillota; Clostridia; Peptostreptococcales; Peptostreptococcaceae.
CUUGGGAUACCACCCUUGUAGUACUGGGACUCUAACCAUAGGCCAUGAAUCUGGUCUUGGGACACUGUCAGGUGGGCAGUUUGACUGGGGCGGUCGCCUCCCAAAAGGUAACGGAGGCGCUCAAAGGUUCUCUCAGUACGGUCGGAAAUCGUACGUAGAGUGUAAAGGCAAAAGAGAGCUUGAUUGCAAGACAUACAGGUCGAGCAAGGAUGAAAAUCGGACUUAGUGAUCCGGUGGUUCUGCGUGGAAGGGCCAUCGCUCAACGGAUAAAAGCUACCCUGGGGAUAACAGGCUUAUCUCCCCCAAGAGUCCACAUCGACGGGGAGGUUUGGCACCUCGAUGUCGGCUCAUCACAUCCUGGGGCUGUAGUAGGUCCCAAGGGUUGGGCUGUUCGCCCAUUAAAGUGGUACGCGAGCUGGGUUCAGAACGUCGUGAGACAGUUCGGUCCCUAUCCGUCGCAGGCGUAGGAAAUUUGAGAAGACCUGUCCUUAGUACGAGAGGACCGGGAUGGACGUACCUCUGGUGUACCAGUUGUUCUGCCAAGGGCAUGGCUGGGUAGCUAUGUACGGAAUGGAUAAGCGCUGAAAGCAUCUAAGCGCGAAGCCAACU